Molecule: non-coding RNA, 218 nt
Organism: Pelobates cultripes (western spadefoot toad)
Lineage: Eukaryota; Metazoa; Chordata; Amphibia; Anura; Pelobatidae
Source: the annotation of a GenBank genome assembly
AUAAAUAACAAGAAGUUCAUGUCUUAGGUGGUCGAACACCCGCAUUGUAAAAGAACAUUGUUUACAAGAGCUCUUUGUGGUUUAUGGACAUUCUUUUUUUCUUUUUCUCUCUUAUCAAAUGAAACACAUUUGUCUUCUGUUCUGAUUCAUCCAUCCACGUCUUUUUCUCUCCUUUGAACGUGCAGUGUGAGCGAAUGGAUGGGUAGCCAUAAUAUGCU